UUGCAGCCAAUUAAGCUGACCAUGCUCUUUUCCCUGAGGGGGCCUGGUGUGCAAUGGCUGCAAACAGCAGCCUCCUUGCUAGUGUGUGUACAAAGCCUGCUGCCUGUAUGCAUCGCCCUAAGGGACCUUGGAGACAGCC
Molecule: small nucleolar RNA, 139 nt
Gene: SNORA70
Rfam family: Small nucleolar RNA SNORA70
About the family: snoRNA U70 seems to be exclusive to mammals and is a member of the H/ACA class of snoRNA which contain H (ANANNA) and ACA box motifs. H/ACA box snoRNAs are involved in the conversion of uridines to pseudouridines (5-ribosyluracil) a constituent of structural RNAs (transfer, ribosomal, small nuclear, and small nucleolar).
Source: Ensembl